GGGUAGAACCAACUCCCAUGGUGUGACGGGCCUUGUACACACCGCCCGUCACACCAUGGGAGUUGGUUCUACCCGAAGACGGUCCGCUAACCGCAAGGAGGCAGCCGGCCACGGUAGGGUCAGCGACUGGGGUGAAGUCGUAACAAGGUAGCCGUAGGGGAACCUGCGGCUG
RNAcentral lists this non-coding RNA (172 nucleotides) under Pararhodospirillum photometricum DSM 122. RNAcentral's name for it is "Bacterial small subunit ribosomal RNA". It matches the Rfam family "Bacterial small subunit ribosomal RNA", at positions 1345 to 1520 of the family's 1533-position model. The record is from Rfam by way of RNAcentral. Lineage: Bacteria; Pseudomonadati; Pseudomonadota; Alphaproteobacteria; Rhodospirillales; Rhodospirillaceae.